This 95-nucleotide ribosomal RNA is filed under the name uncultured marine bacterium. Its description in RNAcentral is "partial small subunit ribosomal RNA". It matches the Rfam family "Bacterial small subunit ribosomal RNA", at positions 960 to 1054 of the family's 1533-position model. The record is from RNAcentral.
CGCGCAGAACCUUACCAUCCCUUGACAUCCAGAGAAUCACCUAGAGAUAGAUGAGUGCCUUCGGGAGCUCUGAGACAGGUGCUGCAUGGCUGUCG